CCCGCCGGCGACCGGCGCACGGGUGAGUAACGCGUAUGCAACUUACCUAUCAGAGGGGGAUAACCCGGCGAAAGUCGGACUAAUACCGCAUGAAGCAGGGGCCCCGCAUGGGGAUAUUUGCUAAAGAUUCAUCGCUGAUAGAUAGGCAUGCGUUCCAUUAGGCAGUUGGCGGGGUAACGGCCCACCAAACCGACGAUGGAUAGGGGUUCUGAGAGGAAGGUCCCCCACAUUGGUACUGAGACACGGACCAAACUCCUACGGAAGGCAGCAG
RNAcentral lists this ribosomal RNA (271 nucleotides) under uncultured bacterium. Its description in RNAcentral is "partial 16S ribosomal RNA". It matches the Rfam family "Bacterial small subunit ribosomal RNA", at positions 84 to 354 of the family's 1533-position model. The record is from RNAcentral.